UCCUUCGGCCCCAGAGGAAGAUCCCAAACUGACCUUGAUGAGAUCCUGUCCUGUGAGCAGACUGUUCAAAUGGGGCAAGUGUUCCUCUCGAGGAAGCUGAGCUCAACYGCGGUAGAGGCCCUGGAUUCCAAGUCCCUCCUGGCCCAGAUAAAGACUGCUGAUGUCCAGCAAGCUGUAGAGGAGGAACAGGCUGAGAUCACUGCGCUAGAGGACAGAGUGGCCAGAGCCCUGGAGCUCAGAGAGAAGAGCGGAGCAAAGACAGCAGGAGAUUGAGAAUCUGAACAGAGCCAUCCUCACGAAAAAGGCAAACAUCAAGCAUCUGAUGAAGGAACUAUCAGAGCUCAAAUCCCAACUGGCUGUGGCAGAGGAGUCUUUGCUAGCCAUUCAAGGCGAGAUGGACACUUUGAAAGACACAGAAAAAGAGGAAGACACAGGUCCCCAGGAGGCAUUGCAAGUCGCCCCAAGCCAAGCAAAAGUCCCAAGAAGGCACCCAAGACAAAAAGGAAUGGUGGAGAAACAAUUACCCAACAGCCUUCUCAUGUCCGAAUUAAAGCUGAAAAUACACCUACCAUA
Salvelinus sp. IW2-2015 is the source of this 573-nucleotide long non-coding RNA. RefSeq lists it as uncharacterized. Lineage: Eukaryota; Metazoa; Chordata; Actinopteri; Salmoniformes; Salmonidae. The record is from RefSeq and is a predicted model, not a curated record.